RNAcentral lists this ribosomal RNA (253 nucleotides) under uncultured bacterium. RNAcentral describes it as "partial 16S ribosomal RNA". It matches the Rfam family "Bacterial small subunit ribosomal RNA", at positions 524 to 776 of the family's 1533-position model. The record is from RNAcentral.
GACGAACCGUGCGAACGUUGUUCGGAAUCACUGGGCUUAAAGGGCGCGUAGGCGGGCAGUCAAGUCUGAAGUGAAAUCCUCCGGCUCAACCGGAGAACAGCUUUGGAUACUGGCUGUCUCGAGUGGGGUAGGGGCGUGUGGAACGGUCGGUGGAGCGGUGAAAUGCGUUGAUAUCGACCGGAACUCCGGUGGCGAAAGCGACACGCUGGACCCUCACUGACGCUGAGGCGCGAAAGCCAGGGGAGCAAACGGG